This 459-nucleotide ribosomal RNA is filed under the name uncultured bacterium. RNAcentral describes it as "partial 16S ribosomal RNA". It matches the Rfam family "Bacterial small subunit ribosomal RNA", at positions 338 to 795 of the family's 1533-position model. The record is from RNAcentral.
CCUACGGGAGGCAGCAGUGAGGAAUAUUGGUCAAUGGCCGGAAGGCUGAACCAGCCAUGCCGCGUGAAGGUCAGUGCCCUUUGGGCGUUAAACUUCUUUUGUGCGGGAGCAAAAAUGCUCUCGUUUGGCCAGACGAGCGUACCGUAAGAAUAAGCAUCGGCUAACACCGUUCCAGCAGCCGCGGUAAUUCGGGGGAUGCCAGCGUUAACCGGAUUUAUUGGGUUUAAAGGGAGCGUAGAUGGGUUGUUAAGUCAGUUGUGAAAGUUUGCGGCUCAACCGUAAAAUUGCAAUUGAUACUGGCAGUCUUGAGUACAGUUGAGGUAGGCGGAAUGCGUGGUGUAGCGGUGAAAUGCUUAGAUAUCACGAAGAACCCCGAUUGCGAAGGCAGCUUACUAAACUGUGACUGACGUUGAGGCUCGAAAGUGUGGGUAUCAAACAGGAUUAGAUACCCCUGUAGUC